CAUUACAGAUGCUCAAUUUUCUCCUUAUGUGGAUAAGAUGGCUUUCUCUCCUACUUCAUCCCCCGGAUACAGCCCGUCAUCCCCUGGUUACAGCCCGUCGUCCCCUGGUUACAGCCCGACCUCUCCAGGUUACAGCCCCACAUCCCCAGGUUACAGCCCCACGUCCCCGGGGUACAGCCCCACUUCCCCCACUUAUAGCCCCAGCUCUCCUGGCUACAGCCCGACAAGUCCGGCAUAUUCCCCAACCAGUCCAUCGUACUCUCCCACAUCACCCAGUUAUAGUCCAACAUCUCCGAGCUAUAGCCCUACAUCUCCUAGUUAUAGCCCAACAUCGCCUAGCUAUAGCCCUACUUCUCCUGCAUACAGCCCCACUUCGCCUGCCUACAGCCCCACUUCGCCUGCCUACAGCCCCACUUCUCCAUCUUACAGCCCCACUUCGCCAUCUUACAGCCCCACCUCACCUUCUUACAGCCCCACCUCGCCUUCAUAUAGCCCCACCUCACCAAGUUAUAGUCCAACUUCUCCAUCAUAUAGUCCCACUUCUCCUGCAUACAGUCCUACCUCCCCUGGUUACAGCCCAACAUCUCCCAGUUACAGCCCAACAUCACCAUCAUAUAGUCCUACAUCACCAAGUUACAAUCCCUCGGCUAGAUACAGCCCCUCCCUUGCAUAUUCGCCAACCAGUCCAAAGCUGUCUCCUUCUAGUCCAUACAGCCCGUCAUCUCCAAGUUACAGGUAAAUAAUCUUUAAUUUGACACAGGUGUUUUUAUUCUUUUGCCGAGGCAAGAAUUGUUCUUAAUUUGGCUAUGUUUGAUAAUAAUUCACGACUUUUGUAGCAUCUACCUAAUUAGGUUAUCUGUGGUUUUUGAGUCUGCUUCAUUAGAACUAAUUGGUUUCCACAGUCGUUGGUGUUUUGUAUUGGUGGAUUUCAGACUGGGAUCUAGAUAUAUUACUAAUGACGUGAUUAAAUACUGUCUUGUGUUGCAGUCCAACGUCACCUUCGUACUCUCCAACAUCUCCAUCAUAUUCUCCUUCAAGCCCAACCUAUAGUCCCAGCAGGUAAGUGAUGUGCGUGCGUUUCUGUAUUUUGAUUUACUGCCUGAAAUCUUGGUGGAAUGAGAUGGUCUUACCUUUUUUUUAGCUUUAGUACGUCCUUCGCUGCAUUUUGAAGUUAAUGAACACUAUUACC
Molecule: long non-coding RNA, 1189 nt
Filed under: Nicotiana tabacum (common tobacco)
Lineage: Eukaryota; Viridiplantae; Streptophyta; Magnoliopsida; Solanales; Solanaceae
Description: long non-coding RNA (NTAB_LNC001599)
Source: RNAcentral